Molecule: long non-coding RNA, 4232 nt
Filed under: Homo sapiens (human)
Lineage: Eukaryota; Metazoa; Chordata; Mammalia; Primates; Hominidae
Description: HSALNT0341578
Source: RNAcentral
CUGAAGUGAUCUGCCCACCUCGGCUUCCCAAAGUGCUGGGACUGCAGGUGUGAGCCACUGCGCCUGGCCCCUUCAGGUGGGUUUUGAGGCUUCACGUUGCUGCUGCAAUAAAUUACCACACACUUAGUGGCUUAAAACAGCACAGAGGUAUUCCCUUACAUUUCUGAAGGCCAGAAUUCUAAAAUCAGUCCCACUGAGUCAAGGUGGGAGCAGGGUCAGUGCCUUCCCAGGCUCUGCGGGAGAAUCUGUUUCCUGGCCCUGGAGGCGGCCUGUACUCCUUAGCUUGUGCUGCCCUUCUGGAAUGACUCGAGUUUCCUGCUUUCAUCACUACACCUCCCACCGCUCUCCAUCACCUGCUGUGCUCUUACGAGGAUCCAGCUGAGACAUGUUUUAGGAAGUUUGCUAAAAGACCCCUGGAGACGUCCUCAUUGUGGCCUCCCUGCUGUUGUGUUUAAUUUGGUUGAUCUUCUCUGCCCUCCUGCUUUUCAGAAUUAAAAGGCUAAAAAGAGUUUUCAGAGAAAUGGAAUAAUUGUAUUGCUGAUCUACGUAAACAAGUUGAAGAAUUGUCUGAAAGAAAAUAUGGUGUGUCUGAACUGGAAAAGUCCUGUGAUAGUUUGUUCAUGAGCAUUUACACAAUGGAGUUACUGUUCAUCAUGGGGGUACUGUGGACAAGCCCAGGGCUGCUGACAUAAUCUUAUGAAUUCAACACAUGAAGAUUUACAACUUGAUAAACCAGCUUCAGGAGAUCAGAACUUCUUACAAUACAACUGAUGUUACUCAGCCUAGAACAAAUACAACAGGGAUUGUGCUGCAUUCUGACUUAGGUUCUGCCAUCGAACACAGAAUGCCCUGAUCCUUAGAGGCAGAGGCAGCUCUUCAGCCUAUGGGAAAACUGUGGAUUUAGUUACUCCACUCUGCCAUGUCCUUCCACCACUGCCUGCACAUUUGAGACCAAGGAUAGAGAUUGGGAAAAAUCCAUAGUUCUCCUGACUCAGAGUUUGGCUCCGGCACUCUCAUUUCAGCCAUAGCUGCAGACAAAGCACACGACUGCUGGGCACUGUGGCUCAAGAGAAGGGGGAGAUGCAGGAAGAAGAUGAGCCUUAAGUCUGAACACUGAGGAAUUCAUGUGCAUCAGUCAGACCUCCUGUGCAAGGAAGGAUGUGGUUACUACGGCAACCCUGCCUGGCAGGGUUUCUGCUCCAAGUGCUGGAGGGAAGAGUACCACAAAGCCAGGCAGAAGGAGAUUCAGGAGGACUGGGAGCUGGCGGAGCGACUCCAGUGGGAGGAAGAGGCCUUUGCCAGCAGUCAGAGCAGCCAAGGGGCCCAAUCCCUCACAUUCUCCAAGUUUGAAGGAAAGAAAACCAACGAGAAGACCCACGAGGUUACCACAGUGAAGAAAUCUUCAGUGCGUCUUCCAGGGUCGGAUCAAAGAAGGCAGAAAUUCAGGAAGCAAAAGCCAGUCCUUCCAUAAACCGGCGAACCAGCAUUGAAACGGAUAGAGUGUCUAAGGAGUUCAUAGAAUUUCUCAAGACCUUCCACAAGACAGGCCAAGAAAUCUAUAAACAGACCAAGCUGUUUUUGGAAGGGAUGCAUUACAAAAGGUGCCUCCAGAAAGGGUUGAGAAGAUAAUGGAUCAGAUUGAAAAGUACAUCAUGACUCAUCUCUGUAAAUAUGCGUUCUGUCCAGAACCCCAGUGAGCCUGGAAGACUGGGUGCUAUGGGAAAUGUCAUCAAUCCAAUGCUAGUGAAAGAUGUGACUGGGGAAUGCUGAAAAAUGCGCACCCCUGGGAGGAAUGAGGAAAGAUGACAUCCACUGACUUGUUAUUUUUUUGAGAAGGAGUCUUGCUCUGUUGCCCAGGCUGGAGUGUGGUGGCACGAUCUCGGCUCACUGAUGAUGAGAAGAAAGAUCUUGCCAUUCAAAAGAGGAUCAGAGUGGAAGCUUCUCUGUGGUGUCAGAAAGACGAGGAAUGUGGUGACCUCACCUAUCCAUCUCCCUCAAGGCAGCUUUUGUUUUUCUGCAGUGACCGUACUUGCAAUAAUUAAACAUAGUUGGUCAUUUAAAAUACAUCUCUGAUACUCUCGUCAAAGGUGGAGCCCAGUCCCUAUCGCCUUGAGUGAGGGCUGGGUUACGUGAUUCCCUUCUGACAGAUAGGAAAAAGCAAAAGUGAUGGCUUGCAACUUUGCAAACUACAUCAUAAAAGGUACUGUGGCUUCCUCCUUGCUCACUCUUUGAUUACUCACUUGGGAAAGCCAGCUGUCACACCAUGACACCUAAGCAGCCUGUAGAGAGGCUCAUGUAACAGGAACUGAGGCCUCCUGUCAGCAGUCACAUGAGGGAGCCAUCUUGGAAACAGGCUUUAGGUGACUGCAGUCUCAGUGGACAGCUUGAGUGCAAUGUCAUGAGACACCCUGAGCCCAAAUGACCCAGCUAUGCCACUCCUGAAUUCCUGACCCACAGAAAUGGAGAUCCUAACUUAAGUUCUUGGACUCACUGAGGCAGUAAAAGAACCAUAUCCUGUGUUUGAAUCAAAUCCCAAGUUCCUGUACGUAGAAGGUUUGCCAGACAGGAUUCCCUUUCGAAGCCCUCCUGGUUUGGAAUUCCAUGACUUGAAAGGAUCGUCCAUGGGAGUAAUAAAAUCAAAUUUGUUGGUAAAAAACCUGAACUGGUUAUUUCCUACUUGCCUCCUGGAGUUGCUAAUAAAAUAAACACUAAAGCUUCGCAGUUUCUAAAAAGACCAUGAAGCCCUGAGAGUAAUGAAAAGGUUCCUGAAAUUGAGGUCACUGUGGAAGGAGAAUCUAAUGCCUGAUGAUCUGUCACUAUCUCCCAUCACCCCCAGAUGGGACCAUCUAGUUGCAGGAAAAGAAGGUCAAGACUCCCAGUCAUUCUACAUUAUGCCUCAGCCAAGAUGUCUCACCCCACUCUCUCUGAUGCAACAAGAAGCCCCUGGAGAACGUUUCAGUCCCAUUUUGUACUUCUGUCAUGUGCUCAUCACAGUCUGCAGGCUGGGUCCAUUCUCUCCCCUUUAAUUUCUCAAACACAAAGCGCCCUGCCAGAAUCUCAAGUUGGAUCUGCAGUAGAUCACCAUUAACAUAGCAGCCUGAUAUGUUGUAAGUCCUUAUGCCAGGAACUGUGCAGGAUACAAAAUGUAAGAGAAGGCUGGAAUAGAGCAUCUCUGGGGGAAACGAGAGCCAGAGAUACAGCGGUGUCCCAUGGAGACAGCCAGCUGGUGUUCGGUAGUGCUUUGUGGAAAGGCUGUACUUUGGUGGAAUUUAAAUGACCUCUUAUCAAGAUGGAUAAACCCAAGUUUCCCAGUGCUGGAAUAUAGAAAAUGGAUGGACAAGUAAGUCCCACUCAGCACCCAUAGCCCAGACAUGGGGACCUCAACACACCUGGGCCCCAGACAUCACCUUUCAUUCCGAGGCAUAUGCCAUUCAAGCUAAGGGUGCUACACUUGACCACUGCGGCAGUAUAGAUGAGUCUGAAGAAUGGUAUGGGAUGGAUACUUACGAAUGCACUCGAGCAGGGGUCUCCAUCCACAGGGCCACAGAGCCAGAGGUGAGCAGCAGCUGGAUCUACCAUGAAAGACUUCAGAGUCCAGGAAGAGAGACUGAUUGGGCAACAUGUUAUUCAGUUACAAAAAGACUUGGACUAUGACUCAAAAAUGAUCAAAUAAUAGUGCAUGCAUCCAAUGCAAUAAGAAGCACUUCUGGAGGGUGAGAGAAGCAUCCAGUUAAGGUGACAUUGAAGCUGGGUCCUGAAAGAUGAGGAAGAAUUGUAUGAGAGUGGGCAGAGAAGGGGGAGGUGGAGGGAUGGGGAAUGGGCUGAGAUGGAGUGAGCUGCUCAAGCAGGGAAACCAGCACUGUAAAGACCUGGUCAAUAAAGAUGGCACAUUUUAUUCAGGGAAUGGUGAAUUAAUUGUGGCAGGAAUGCUUUGGAGAGAGAGUAAUUUGCUUGUAUGGAAUUUUGCCCAAGAGACCUCAUUACAGUUUCUAAUCUUUUGAUGUUAUCGUCUAUCACUGUCCUUGUCAGAUAGUUUGGAAUAGGUAUAAUGAUCACAAUAACAUCAAGCAUAAUAUUUCAUUAAUUCUCACAAAAUCACAGGUAGGUGCCACAGUUAUCCCCAUUUUGUGAAUGAAGUGAUGAAGACUUAGGAAUGAUGAGUGAUUGCCCAAGCUCACCUGGAUAUUAAGAGGUCUUGCUCUGUUGUCCAGGCUGGAAUGUGGUAGUGCUAU